This 498-nucleotide ribosomal RNA is filed under the name uncultured bacterium. Its description in RNAcentral is "SSU rRNA". It matches the Rfam family "Bacterial small subunit ribosomal RNA", at positions 26 to 521 of the family's 1533-position model. The record is from RNAcentral.
AGGAUAAACGCUGGCGGCGUGCCUAACACAUGCAAGUCGAACGCCCUUUUUCUUCGCAAGAGGGGGGAGGGAGUGGCGGACGGGUGAGGAACACAUGGGUGACCUACCUUUCAGUGAGGAAUACCGGCGAGAAAUCGCCGACAAGACCGCAUGAGCUUCUCUCGGUGAGCGAGGGAAGGAAAGCUCUCUUUUGUGAGAACGAAGGGGGGCGCUGGAAGAUGGGCCUGUGGCCGAUUAGCUAGUUGGUGAGGUAACGGCUCACCAAGGCGACGAUCGGUAGCUGGUCUGAGAGGACGAUCAGCCACACUGGGAUUGAGAACGGCCCAGACUCCUACGGGGGGCAGCAGUGAGGAAUUUUCCGCAAUGGGCGCAAGCCUGACGGAGCAACGCCGCGUGCAGGAAGACGGUUUUCGGAUCGUAAACUGCUUUUCUCGGGGACGAGAACGGACGGUACCCGAGGAACUCAGCCCCGGCUAACUACGCGCCAGCAGCCGCGGU